Argentina anserina (silverweed cinquefoil) is the source of this 122-nucleotide small nuclear RNA. RefSeq annotates it as U5 spliceosomal RNA. The transcript has a single exon. The record is from RefSeq and is a predicted model, not a curated record. Lineage: Eukaryota; Viridiplantae; Streptophyta; Magnoliopsida; Rosales; Rosaceae.
AGCCAUGUGUUGAGUACUUGAGUACAUAGCUAGCGAACUAUUCUUUCGCCUUUUUACUGAAAACUACCGCGAGCACAACACUCUAAGUGGCAUACGCCAUUUUUUGAAAAUGGUGCACCUCU